This 765-nucleotide ribosomal RNA is filed under the name uncultured Streptococcus sp. Its description in RNAcentral is "bacterial SSU rRNA". It matches the Rfam family "Bacterial small subunit ribosomal RNA", at positions 28 to 776 of the family's 1533-position model. The record is from RNAcentral. Lineage: Bacteria; Bacillati; Bacillota; Bacilli; Lactobacillales; Streptococcaceae.
GACGAACGCUGGCGGCGUGCCUAAUACAUGCAAGUAGAACGCUGAAGAGAGGAGCUUGCUCUUCUUGGAUGAGUUGCGAACGGGUGAGUAACGCGUAGGUAACCUGCCUGGUAGCGGGGGAUAACUAUUGGAAACGAUAGCUAAUACCGCAUAAAAUGGAUUAUCGCAUGAUAAUCCAUUGAAAGGUGCAAAUGCAUCACUACCAGAUGGACCUGCGUUGUAUUAGCUAGUUGGUGGGGUAACGGCUCACCAAGGCGACGAUACAUAGCCGACCUGAGAGGGUGAUCGGCCACACUGGGACUGAGACACGGCCCAGACUCCUACGGGAGGCAGCAGUAGGGAAUCUUCGGCAAUGGACGGAAGUCUGACCGAGCAACGCCGCGUGAGUGAAGAAGGUUUUCGGAUCGUAAAGCUCUGUUGUAAGAGAAGAACGAGUGUGAGAGUGGAAAGUUCACACUGUGACGGUAUCUUACCAGAAAGGGACGGCUAACUACGUGCCAGCAGCCGCGGUAAUACGUAGGUCCCGAGCGUUGUCCGGAUUUAUUGGGCGUAAAGCGAGCGCAGGCGGUUAGAUAAGUCUGAAGUUAAAGGCUGUGGCUUAACCGUAGUACGCUUUGGAAACUGUUUAACUUGAGUGCAAGAGGGGAGAGUGGAAUUCCAUGUGUAGCGGUGAAAUGCGUAGAUAUAUGGAGGAACACCGGUGGCGAAAGCGGCUCUCUGGCUUGUAACUGACGCUGAGGCUCGAAAGCGUGGGGAGCGAACAGG